This 253-nucleotide ribosomal RNA is filed under the name uncultured bacterium. RNAcentral's name for it is "partial 16S ribosomal RNA". It matches the Rfam family "Bacterial small subunit ribosomal RNA", at positions 524 to 776 of the family's 1533-position model. The record is from RNAcentral.
CACGUAGGGGGCGAGCGUUGUCCGGAAUCAUUGGGCGUAAAGAGCUCGUAGGCGGCUCAGUAAGUCGGGUGUGAAACCCUCAGGCUCAACCUGGGGACGCCACCCGAUACUGCUGUGGCUAGAGUCCAGUAGGGGAGUGUGGAAUUCCCGGUGUAGCGGUGAAAUGCGCAGAUAUCGAGAGGAACACCUGCGGCGAAGGCGGGUGCUGGGCUGACACUGACGCUGAUGCGCGAAAGCUAGGGGAGCGAACGGG